ACCGAGAGAACACGUUCAGGUUCCAGUGCGGAUGAAAAGGGAAUCCGGUGUAAAACCGGAACGGGCCCGCCGCUGUAAUCUCUUGCCUUGUGUUAGCAUAGGGAACUUUUUCGGCCACGUGAGCCACUGCGCAUAGUGGGAAGGCCGCCGAAAAAGAGAGAAAGUCAGAAGACCUGCCUGAAACGUAAUACUGAG
Molecule: non-coding RNA, 195 nt
Filed under: uncultured Desulfofustis sp.
Lineage: Bacteria; Pseudomonadati; Thermodesulfobacteriota; Desulfobulbia; Desulfobulbales; Desulfocapsaceae
Source: RNAcentral